Molecule: transfer RNA, 103 nt
Filed under: Plenodomus tracheiphilus IPT5
Lineage: Eukaryota; Fungi; Ascomycota; Dothideomycetes; Pleosporales; Leptosphaeriaceae
Description: tRNA-Ser
Rfam family: tRNA (bases 8-95)
About the family: Transfer RNA (tRNA) molecules are approximately 80 nucleotides in length. Their secondary structure includes four short double-helical elements and three loops (D, anti-codon, and T loops).
Source: RNAcentral
UCAACAAUAGCGGAGUGGUUAACGCGCUGGCCUGCUAGUCCUUCAUCGAAAGGAAAGUCAGCCAGUUCCUUCGGGAGCGUGUGUUCGAAUCACACAGGUGUCG